AUGGCAUUAGUCUAUCUGGAAUCCGGUCGCCAUACAUGGUUAUGGCUCAUCAUCAAUCUUGUUGAGGCAACAUUUCUGUCUGAUGCUAUAGUGCACGAUGGCACCGUUUACGCGGUCGAUGCACAGAUUGGUUGCCUAUACUGGUGCAAUCUAUCGUCGUUACCAUAUAACUGGAAUUACCGAUGCAAGUCGAAGAAGGAUUGGCCGGUGCUGCCGGCUGGCGUCAAGUUCGAUCCCACGGAUCAGGAGCUGAUCGAGCACCUUGAGGCCAAAGUGGGUGCUGACAGCACGAGAUUUCAGUCUCUCAUCGAUUUGUUCAUACCAACCAUCGACAGCAAGCACGGCAUAUGCUACACCCAACCUGAGAAACUUCCAGGUAUCACACUGAGUGGCCUAAGGAAGCAUUUCUUCCAGCGCAAUUCCAGGGCAUUCAAAAGGGGCACGUGGAUGUGUCGCAAGAUACAAUUGGAGUGCGGCAUGCACGCGAUAUGGGCAGCAAAAAAGGUUCUAGUGCUGCACACCAACAAGAACUUCGACCAGCAGAGGACCAACUGGGUGAUGCGCCAGUACCACCUCGAGGACCUGGAGCAAGAGAAGGAGCGGGAGUUGGUCCUCUGCAAGAUUUUCUACCAGACGAACAGUAGGGCCAGGAGUAAAAAGAUUAUAAGUUAG
RNAcentral lists this ribosomal RNA (672 nucleotides) under Triticum aestivum (bread wheat). Its description in RNAcentral is "partial small subunit ribosomal RNA". Lineage: Eukaryota; Viridiplantae; Streptophyta; Magnoliopsida; Poales; Poaceae. The record is from RNAcentral.